This 253-nucleotide ribosomal RNA is filed under the name uncultured bacterium. RNAcentral describes it as "partial 16S ribosomal RNA". It matches the Rfam family "Bacterial small subunit ribosomal RNA", at positions 524 to 776 of the family's 1533-position model. The record is from RNAcentral.
UACGAAGGGGGCUAGCGUUGCUCGGAAUCACUGGGCGUAAAGGGUGCGUAGGCGGGUUUUUAAGUCAGAGGUGAAAUCUUGGAGCUCAACUCCAGAACUGCCUUUGAUACUGAGAAUCUUGAGUAUGGGAGAGGUGAGUGGAACUGCGAGUGUAGAGGUGAAAUUCGUAGAUAUUCGCAAGAACACCAGUGGCGAAGGCGGCUCACUGGCCCAUAACUGACGCUGAGGAGCGAAAGCGUGGGGAGCGAACAGG